RNAcentral lists this ribosomal RNA (428 nucleotides) under uncultured bacterium. RNAcentral describes it as "partial 16S ribosomal RNA". It matches the Rfam family "Bacterial small subunit ribosomal RNA", at positions 354 to 796 of the family's 1533-position model. The record is from RNAcentral.
GUGGGGAAUAUUGGGCAAUGGGCGCAAGCCUGACCCAGCAACGCCGCGUGAAGGAAGAAGGUCUUCGGAUUGUAAACUUCUGUCAUUGGGGACGAAGGAAGUGACGGUACCCAAUGAGGAAGCCCCGGCUAACUACGUGCCAGCAGCCGCGGUAAGACGUAGGGGGCGAGCGUUGUCCGGAAUUACUGGGCGUAAAGGGUGCGUAGGCGGCGAUGCAAGUCCAUUGUGAAAAGCCCGGGCUUAACCUGGGAGGUGCAGUGGAAACUGGAUGGCUUGAGAGCAGGAGAGGAAAGUGGAAUUCCUAGUGUAGCGGUGAAAUGCGUAGAUAUUAGGAGGAACACCAGUGGCGAAGGCGGCUUUCUGGACUGUAACUGACGCUGAGGCACGAAAGCGUGGGGAGCAAACAGGAUUAGAUACCCCUGUAGUCC